RNAcentral lists this ribosomal RNA (497 nucleotides) under uncultured bacterium. Its description in RNAcentral is "partial 16S ribosomal RNA". It matches the Rfam family "Bacterial small subunit ribosomal RNA", at positions 28 to 507 of the family's 1533-position model. The record is from RNAcentral.
GAUGAACGCUGGCGGCGUGCCUAAUACAUGCAAGUCGAGCGAACAGACGAGGAGCUUGCUCCUCUGACGUUAGCGGCGGACGGGUGAGUAACACGUGGAUAACCUACCUAUAAGACUGGGAUAACUUCGGGAAACCGGAGCUAAUACCGGAUAAUAUAUUGAACCGCAUGGUUCAAUAGUGAAAGACGGUUUUGCUGUCACUUAUAGAUGGAUCCGCGCCGCAUUAGCUCGUUGGUAAGGUAACGGCUUACCAAGGCAACGAUGCGUAGCCGACCUGAGAGGGUGAUCGGCCACACUGGAACUGAGACACGGUCCAGACUCCUACGGGAGGCAGCAGUAGGGAAUCUUCCGCAAUGGGCGAAAGCCUGACGGAGCAACGCCGCGUGAGUGAUGAAGGUCUUCGGAUCGUAAAACUCUGUUAUUAGGGAAGAACAAAUGUGUAAGUAACUAUGCACGUCUUGACGGUACCUAAUCAGAAAGCCACGGCUAACUACGUG